Molecule: transfer RNA, 73 nt
Filed under: Cordylochernes scorpioides
Lineage: Eukaryota; Metazoa; Arthropoda; Arachnida; Pseudoscorpiones; Chernetidae
Description: tRNA-Tyr
Source: RNAcentral
UCCCUCGAGCCGGAUUCGAACCAGCGACCCAAGGAUCUACAGUCCUCCGCUCUGCCAACUGAGCUAUCGAGGG